RNAcentral lists this long non-coding RNA (220 nucleotides) under Homo sapiens (human). RNAcentral's name for it is "HSALNT0371519". Lineage: Eukaryota; Metazoa; Chordata; Mammalia; Primates; Hominidae. The record is from RNAcentral.
UUUUUUUACAAACCCUUGUGUGGAGAUCUGACUUUCAAUAGAUCGCAGCGAGGGAGCUGCUCUGCUACGUACGAAACCCCGACCCAGAAGCAAGUCGUCUACGAAUGGUUUAGCGCCGCGGGGCUGCCGUAUCGUUCCGCCUGGGCGGGAUUCUGACUUAAGAGGCGUUCAGUCAUAAUCCCACAGAUGGUAGCUUCGCCCCAUUGGCUCCUCAGCCAAU